Molecule: transfer RNA, 70 nt
Filed under: Mytilus edulis (blue mussel)
Lineage: Eukaryota; Metazoa; Mollusca; Bivalvia; Mytilida; Mytilidae
Also listed under: 1 other name
Rfam family: tRNA
About the family: Transfer RNA (tRNA) molecules are approximately 80 nucleotides in length. Their secondary structure includes four short double-helical elements and three loops (D, anti-codon, and T loops).
Source: Rfam by way of RNAcentral
ACCUUGUUAGUACAACUGUAGUACACUUAUCUAUCGAUGAGUGAUCCAGGUUCGAAUCCUGGGCAAGGUA